AGAACGAACGCUGGCGGCAUGCCUAACACAUGCAAGUCGAACGAGACCUUCGGGUCUAGUGGCGCACGGGUGCGUAACGCGUGGGAACCUGCCUUUAGGUUCGGAAUAACUCAGAGAAAUUUGAGCUAAUACCGGAUAAUGUCUUCGGACCAAAGAUUUAUCGCCUUUAGAUGGGCCCGCGUAGGAUUAGCUUGUUGGUGGGGUAAUGGCCUACCAAGGCGACGAUCCUUAGCUGGUCUGAGAGGAUGAUCAGCCACACUGGGACUGAGACACGGCCCAGACUCCUACGGGAGGCAGCAGUGGGGAAUAUUGGACAAUGGGCGAAAGCCUGAUCCAGCAAUGCCGCGUGAGUGAUGAAGGCCUUAGGGUGUAAAGCUCUUUACCCGGGAUGAUAAUGACAGUACCGGAGAAUAAGCUCGCUAACUCGCGCCAGCGAGCC
RNAcentral lists this ribosomal RNA (439 nucleotides) under uncultured soil bacterium. Its description in RNAcentral is "bacterial SSU rRNA". It matches the Rfam family "Bacterial small subunit ribosomal RNA", at positions 26 to 516 of the family's 1533-position model. The record is from RNAcentral.